RNAcentral lists this transfer RNA (74 nucleotides) under Myxococcales bacterium. Its description in RNAcentral is "tRNA-Lys". It matches the Rfam family "tRNA". Rfam says of the family: Transfer RNA (tRNA) molecules are approximately 80 nucleotides in length. Their secondary structure includes four short double-helical elements and three loops (D, anti-codon, and T loops). The record is from RNAcentral. Lineage: Bacteria; Pseudomonadati; Myxococcota; Myxococcia; Myxococcales. RNAcentral also lists the same sequence under 1 other name.
GGGUCGAUAGCUCAGCCGGUUAGAGCCGCGGAUUUUUAAUCCGAAGGUCCAGGGUUCGAAUCCCUGUCGACCCA